This is a non-coding RNA of Myotis brandtii (Brandt's bat), 74 nucleotides long. The record is from Rfam. Lineage: Eukaryota; Metazoa; Chordata; Mammalia; Chiroptera; Vespertilionidae.
GCCAAUGUGGUUCAGUGGAUAGAGCAUCAGCUCCUGCACUAAAGGGUCACAGGUUCAAUUCUUGGUCAUGGGCA